AUGUCUAGCUCAACUUCGGCCUCCCACCAAUCAUGGCCACACUACGGUCCAGUGUCAUUGACAAGAUGCCCCGAUUGCCCGCGCAUUGAGCCUCUGAAGUGUUUGACUUGUGUGAAGGAGGAAAAUGGUAACUGUGGGCGCGAGUUUGUCAAAUGCUUGAGCAAGCCACAACUGGGGCAGGUUCUGAAGAAAUGUGGACAUUUCGAGUGGCUCGAUGAGUACGUUGAGAGGUUGAAAUUGGAGGCUUCAACACAGGAGCUCAAUUUCAAUUUUGGGGGGCAGCUUGGUGUGGAACACACCUCACAUUUGGGGGCAGCUUGGUGUGGAACACGCCUCACAUUUGGUGGACAGAGCCGAUCCGAUGAUGGACAGUGCUGA
Molecule: ribosomal RNA, 378 nt
Filed under: Triticum aestivum (bread wheat)
Lineage: Eukaryota; Viridiplantae; Streptophyta; Magnoliopsida; Poales; Poaceae
Description: partial small subunit ribosomal RNA
Source: RNAcentral